This 625-nucleotide ribosomal RNA is filed under the name uncultured bacterium. RNAcentral describes it as "bacterial SSU rRNA". It matches the Rfam family "Bacterial small subunit ribosomal RNA", at positions 55 to 701 of the family's 1533-position model. The record is from RNAcentral.
CUGCAGUCGAACGAUGAUGGAGGAGCUUGCUCUUCCUGAUUAUGGCGCACGGGUGAGUAUACCAUAGAUAAUGUACCCCUUAGUUUGGGAUAGCACUGGAAACGGUGAUUAAUACCAAAUACUCCUUCUUGUCUUAGGCAAGUCGGGAAAGUUUUUUCGCUAAGGGAUCAGUCUAUGUCCUAUCAGCUAGUUGGUGAGGUAAUGGCUCACCAAGGCUAUGACGGGUAUCUGGUUUGAGAGGAUGAUCAGACACACUGGAACUGAGACACGGUCCAGACUCCUACGGGAGGCAACAGUGAGGAAUAUUGCACAAUGGAGGAAACUCUGAUGCAACAACGCCGCGUGGAGGAUGACGCAUUUCGGUGUGUAAACUCCUUUUAAGAGGGAAGAUAAUGACGGUACCUCUUGAAUAAGCACCGGCUAACUCCGUGCCACCAUCCGCGGUAAUACGGAGGGUGCAAGCGUUACUCGGAAUCACUGGGCGUAAAGGGUGCGUAGGCUGACUUUUAAGUCAGGCGUGAAAUCCAAUGGCUUAACCAUUGAACUGCGCUUGAAACUGGGAGUCUAGAGUUCAGAAGGGGCAGAUGGAAUUAGUGGUGUAGGGGUAAAAUCCGUAGGUAUCACU